GACGAACGCUGGCGGCGUGCUUAACACAUGCAAGUCGAACGGUAAGGCCCUUCGGGGUACACGAGUGGCGAACGGGUGAGUAACACGUGGGUGAUCUGCCCUGCACUUCGGGAUAAGCCUGGGAAACUGGGUCUAAUACCGGAUAGGACCCUGGGAUGCAUGUCCUGGGGGGGAAAGCUUUUGCGGUGUGGGAUGGGCCCGCUGCCUAUCAGCUUGUUGGUGGGGUGAUGGCCUACCAAGGCGACGACGGGUAGCCGGCCUGAGCGGGUGACCGGCCACACUGGGACUGAGAUACGGCCCAGACUCCUACGGGAGGCAGCAGUGGGGAAUAUUGCACAAUGGGCGCAAGCCUGAUGCAGCGACGCCGCGUGAGGGAUGACGGCCUUCGGGUUGUAAACCUCUUUCAGCACCGACGAAGCGCAAGUGACGGUAGGUGCAGAAGAAGGACCGGCCAACUACGUGCCAGCAGCCGCCGUAA
This 478-nucleotide ribosomal RNA is filed under the name uncultured bacterium. RNAcentral describes it as "partial 16S ribosomal RNA". It matches the Rfam family "Bacterial small subunit ribosomal RNA", at positions 28 to 523 of the family's 1533-position model. The record is from RNAcentral.